CUCCCCACCCCCAUUCAGUCUCAUCUCUCUCUCAAGAAUGAACCUUAGCAGCCCUAAAAUCCAUCGUCGCAUCCGCCGCAAACCAUCUACUGAAAAUUGAUUCACGGCGAUUCCAGUGCUCCAAUCCACCCCAAAUUAACACACAAGACUCCCAUUCUCCUCUUCUUUAUGAACCCAAAUCCCUGUUAAACCUUUAGAAUCUUAGAUCUAAAUUCAAACCAAAAAUCUUAACUUCCCCAAAUUUGCCCAAAUCACACCCCCACGGUCCCGAACUUUUCAAUAUUACUG
This 288-nucleotide long non-coding RNA is filed under the name Nicotiana benthamiana. RNAcentral describes it as "long non-coding RNA (NBEN_LNC006608)". Lineage: Eukaryota; Viridiplantae; Streptophyta; Magnoliopsida; Solanales; Solanaceae. The record is from RNAcentral.